UACGUAGGGUGCAAGCGUUGUUCGGAAUUACUGGGCGUAAAGAGUGUGUAGGCGGUGUUCUAAGUCUGUCGUGAAAUCUCCGGGCUUAACUGGGAGGGUGCGGCGGAAACUGGAAUGCUAGAGGGUGGGAGAGGAAAGCGGAAUUCCUGGUGUAGCGGUGAAAUGCGUAGAUAUCAGGAGGAACACCAGUGGCGAAGGCGGCUUCCUGGUCUGCGACUGACGCUGUGGCGCGAAAGCUAGGGGAGCAAACGGG
RNAcentral lists this ribosomal RNA (253 nucleotides) under uncultured bacterium. RNAcentral's name for it is "partial 16S ribosomal RNA". It matches the Rfam family "Bacterial small subunit ribosomal RNA", at positions 524 to 776 of the family's 1533-position model. The record is from RNAcentral.